This 427-nucleotide ribosomal RNA is filed under the name uncultured bacterium. RNAcentral describes it as "partial 16S ribosomal RNA". It matches the Rfam family "Bacterial small subunit ribosomal RNA", at positions 355 to 774 of the family's 1533-position model. The record is from RNAcentral.
UAGGGAAUCUUCCGCAAUGGACGAAAGUCUGACGGAGCAACGCCGCGUGAGUGAUGAAGGUUUUCGGAUCGUAAAACUCUGUUAUUAGGGAAGAACAAAUGCGUAAGUAACUGUGCGCAUCUUGACGGUACCUAAUCAGAAAGCCACGGCUAACUACGUGCCAGCAGCCGCGGUAAUACGUAGGUGGCAAGCGUUAUCCGGAAUUAUUGGGCGUAAAGCGCGCGUAGGCGGUUUCUUAAGUCUGAUGUGGAAGCCCACGGCUCAACCGUGGAGGGUCAUUGGAAACUGGGAAACUUGAGUACAGAAGAGGAAAGUGGAAUUCCAUGUGUAGCGGUGAAAUGCGCAGAGAUAUGGAGGAACACCAGUGGCGAAGGCGACUUUCUGGUCUGUAACUGACGCUGAUGUGCGAAAGCGUGGGGAUCAAACA